This 1359-nucleotide ribosomal RNA is filed under the name uncultured bacterium. RNAcentral describes it as "bacterial SSU rRNA". It matches the Rfam family "Bacterial small subunit ribosomal RNA", at positions 28 to 1381 of the family's 1533-position model. The record is from RNAcentral.
AUUGAACGCUGGCGGCAGGCUUAACACAUGCAAGUCGAGCGGGGUGAUGGUGCUUGCACUAUCACUUAGCGGCGGACGGGUGAGUAAUGCUUAGGAAUCUGCCUAUUAGUGGGGGACAACAUUUCGAAAGGAAUGCUAAUACCGCAUACGUCCUACGGGAGAAAGCAGGGGAUCUUCGGACCUUGCGCUAAUAGAUGAGCCUAAGUCGGAUUAGCUAGUUGGUGGGGUAAAGGCCUACCAAGGCGACGAUCUGUAGCGGGUCUGAGAGGAUGAUCCGCCACACUGGGACUGAGACACGGUCCAGACUCCUACGGGAGGCAGCAGUGGGGAAUAUUGGACAAUGGGCGCAAGCCUGAUCCAGCCAUGCCGCGUGUGUGAAGAAGGCCUUAUGGUUGUAAAGCACUUUAAGCGAGGAGGAGGCUACUUUAGUUAAUACCUAGAGAUAGUGGACGUUACUCGCAGAAUAAGCACCGGCUAACUCUGUGCCAGCAGCCGCGGUAAUACAGAGGGUGCAAGCGUUAAUCGGAUUUACUGGGCGUAAAGCGCGCGUAGGCGGCUAAUUAAGUCAAAUGUGAAAUCCCCGAGCUUAACUUGGGAAUUGCAUUCGAUACUGGUUAGCUAGAGUGUGGGAGAGGAUGGUAGAAUUCCAGGUGUAGCGGUGAAAUGCGUAGAGAUCUGGAGGAAUACCGAUGGCGAAGGCAGCCAUCUGGCCUAACACUGACGCUGAGGUGCGAAAGCAUGGGGAGCAAACAGGAUUAGAUACCCUGGUAGUCCAUGCCGUAAACGAUGUCUACUAGCCGUUGGGGCCUUUGAGGCUUUAGUGGCGCAGCUAACGCGAUAAGUAGACCGCCUGGGGAGUACGGUCGCAAGACUAAAACUCAAAUGAAUUGACGGGGGCCCGCACAAGCGGUGGAGCAUGUGGUUUAAUUCGAUGCAACGCGAAGAACCUUACCUGGCCUUGACAUAGUAAGAACUUUCCAGAGAUGGAUUGGUGCCUUCGGGAACUUACAUACAGGUGCUGCAUGGCUGUCGUCAGCUCGUGUCGUGAGAUGUUGGGUUAAGUCCCGCAACGAGCGCAACCCUUUUCCUUAUUUGCCAGCGAGUAAUGUCGGGAACUUUAAGGAUACUGCCAGUGACAAACUGGAGGAAGGCGGGGACGACGUCAAGUCAUCAUGGCCCUUACGGCCAGGGCUACACACGUGCUACAAUGGUCGGUACAAAGGGUUGCUACCUAGCGAUAGGAUGCUAAUCUCAAAAAGCCGAUCGUAGUCCGGAUUGGAGUCUGCAACUCGACUCCAUGAAGUCGGAAUCGCUAGUAAUCGCGGAUCAGAAUGCCGCGGUGAAUACGUUCCCGGGCCU